Tyto alba (common barn owl) is the source of this 2021-nucleotide long non-coding RNA. RefSeq lists it as uncharacterized. The transcript is spliced from 2 exons. Lineage: Eukaryota; Metazoa; Chordata; Aves; Strigiformes; Tytonidae. The record is from RefSeq and is a predicted model, not a curated record.
CCGGGCCCGGCGCUUACCUCAGGCCGGGGUCCCGCUGCCCCGCUCCCGGCUCCGGUGGCGGCCGCUCCGGCUGGGCUGGGCGAUAACCAACGGUAACCGGCAACGUUCACCCGCUAGAAAUGGUGACACCCUUCUCCAUGGAAGCCUGUUUAUAUUUCUGCCAACGUCGCUGUCAGCAGCUCCCCGGGGGACCAGCCCCAGCUGUGUCCUUGGGACCUGAGUGGGGCUGGACGGGGCAGAUAAAAGGUCCCUUUGCCACCAUAACCAGCUCCCUGCGGCACCCAGUGGCAUAAAGAUGGGAAGAAGGUUUCAAACCCACAGCCCUGCUGCCCUGCUCCAGUUUUCCCAGCAGCCUGUAGCCUCUUGGAAAGCGAACCCUUGGUUUUUGCUCAGACUCCAGGUGCUGGGAAACCCCCCCAGGGCUCCUCCCCAGCACCCCAACACGGGGCAAUUCGCCUUCUGGGACUUUAUCUGCUCCCUGCCAUGCGGGCUCCUCUCAGCCUUAGUGCCAGCGGGGUUGCUGAGAGGGGGACAGCCUGUUUUCUUUCGAACCUGUAGCAAAUUACUCUGCAAAAUUUUUUUUUUUUUUUUUUGCCUGCCCCAAUGUGUUUUUACAUUUACCUUGCCCGAGUCACUCGCCCCUUCUUGCUCAGACACAGCUCGAGCACUUUGUAGGGAUCCUUCCAAGAGAUACUUAGAUAUUUUGCUUUCUUGGCCUGUUUUUGAUCUUUGAAGAAGCAGUUUGGUGGGUGCUACAAUCCGGUCCAAGACUUCAGUAUCGUGUCCGUAAACCCUCUCGGUGCUGCCUGCAAGUGCUCAGCCCCGCGGGCUGACAUCUGCUGCUCCUCCCGUCCCCCCUCUCCCCAAUCCAUCCCAUUCCUCUGCACUUUUCCCUUUCAGAUCACAAGAGGAUGAAGGAUUUGACUUGAAUUCACUAGUUAGAGGGUGAUCACGCUUGGUCUCUUAUUUAUCUUGAAUUUUGUGGCACCGAGGCACCGCGACUUUUUUCUGAAGACAAACGCAGAGGCUUACUUUACUACAUCCACUUUUUUUUAAGAGCCUGGGUUCGUGGUCUAUAGCAAACCUCGGAAGAAAAGCGAGCAGUGCUGCAUUUGCCAUUAGGUCGUUAUCUCUAAAAUCAGGAAGGUCACGCUGCAAAAAUAGAGUUCCUGUUUGUGCGGGCGGCAGCGUCCUGCGCACACAAUGAGACCAGCAUCGGGCACAGGCUGCUCGGCCGCCGGUGAGGCGACGGCCCCAGCACUGUCCUCCCCGCUCUUGGGAAUUAUAAUUUAUCACCUCCUGCCAUCCCCCGGGUUUAGCUUUUGGGACACCAAGGUGGGGGAUCCUUCCCACCGCAGCUGGGGAAGCAGCCAGGCACCUUCCCCUCGCCUGUGCCCACGCAGUACAAACCUCCCUCUUUUCAGUUGCAGCUUUUGGGGCAUUUUUGUGUGUCUGGCCCCAGGGAUGUGAUCUGGAGUGUUGGCCGUGCAGGGUCUCCCAGGUUUGGGUCCGCUCGCCUUGGGAACCGUGGCCCCGCUCCCCGCCCCCAUGUCCAGCCCGGGCUGGAUCGUUUCUCAGGAAAAGCUCAUUAAGCAAGCACUGGAUUUCUUUUAAAAAAGAAACUCACUUGUUUUCCAGAACUGAGUUUAUUGUAUUCAUAAUUGUCCUGUAUCUUUUUCAAUCUUCCUCCAUAAAGCUUUGCAUACCCUCACCCUUCCAGCCACAAAGGAUGUCAGCAAUACCCUCAUUCAAACGUUUUAUUAUUUUUUUCCUCUGAGAAUGGCAAUAAACUGAGGGUCUCUGCUCCUUUUAUGUUGGGUGCAAAGUACUCUCCUUUAGCAUACAAAUGCUUAAAGUCUAUUUUGUUAAAUCUUUAGGUUAAUUUUCCAUUUAACGCAUUUUAUUAGCAUUCUCACAAUACAAAAAGAAGCCUCAGAACUAAACCAAUCCAUUUAUGGAGAGAGACGGACACGUAUGGUUUCAUACCAAGUUUAUUUAUUUUUUUUAUUUUUUUAUUUUUU